Molecule: transfer RNA, 72 nt
Filed under: Ornithorhynchus anatinus (platypus)
Lineage: Eukaryota; Metazoa; Chordata; Mammalia; Monotremata; Ornithorhynchidae
Rfam family: tRNA
About the family: Transfer RNA (tRNA) molecules are approximately 80 nucleotides in length.
Source: Rfam by way of RNAcentral
GGCAGCAUGGCUCAGUGGAAAGAGCACGGGCUUUGGAGUCUGAGGCCAUGGGUUCGAAUCCCAGCUCGGCCA